GACGAACUGUGCGAACGUUAUUCGGAAUCACUGGGCUUACAGGGUGCGUAGGCGGCCAGGUAAGUAGGGUGUGAAAUCCCCCGGCCCAACCGGGGAACUGCGCUCUAAACUACCUGGCUUGAGUGAGCUAGGGGUCCACGGAACUUCCAGUGGAGCGGUGAAAUGUGUUGAUAUUGGAAGGAACACCGGAGGCGAAAGCGGUGGACUGGGGCUUAACUGACGCUGAGGCACGAAAGCCAGGGGAGCGAAC
RNAcentral lists this ribosomal RNA (250 nucleotides) under uncultured bacterium. RNAcentral's name for it is "partial 16S ribosomal RNA". It matches the Rfam family "Bacterial small subunit ribosomal RNA", at positions 524 to 773 of the family's 1533-position model. The record is from RNAcentral.